CCUACGGGAGGCAGCAGUGAGGAAUAUUGGUCAAUGGGCGAGAGCCUGAACCAGCCAAGUCGCGUGAGGGAGUACUGCCCUAUGGGUUGUAAACCUCUUUUGUCGGGGCGCAAAAGCCGGACGUUUCCGGCUGUGAGAGUACCCGCAGAAACAGCAUCGGCUCAUUCCGUGCCAGCAGCCGCGGUAAUACUGGGGAUGCGAGCGUUAUCCGGAUUUAUUGGGUUUAAAGGGUGCGCAGGCGGAGUUUUAAGUCAGCGGUAAAAUCGUGGGGCUCAACCCCAUCCAGCCGUUGAAACUGGGGAUCUAGAGUGUGCGAGAGGUAUGCGGAAUGCGUGGUGUAGCGGUGAAAUGCAUAGAGAUCACGCAGAACCCCGAUUGCGAAGGCAGCAUACCGGUGCACAACUGACGCUCAGGCACGAAAGCGUGGGUAUCGAACAGGAUUAGAUACCCGAGUAGUC
Molecule: ribosomal RNA, 458 nt
Filed under: uncultured bacterium
Lineage: Bacteria
Description: partial 16S ribosomal RNA
Rfam family: Bacterial small subunit ribosomal RNA
Source: RNAcentral